Molecule: ribosomal RNA, 190 nt
Filed under: uncultured bacterium
Lineage: Bacteria
Description: partial 16S ribosomal RNA
Rfam family: Bacterial small subunit ribosomal RNA
Source: RNAcentral
GAGACUGCCGGUGACAAACCGGAGGAAGGUGGGGAUGACGUCAAGUCCUCAUGGCCCUUAUGGSUAGGGCUUCACACGUCAUACAAUGGUGGGUACAGAGGGUUGCCAASCCGCGAGGGGGAGCUAAUCCCAGAAAACCCAUCGUAGUCCGGAUCGCAGUCUGCAACUCGACUMCGUGAAGUCGGAAUCG